This 303-nucleotide ribosomal RNA is filed under the name Streptomyces parvus. RNAcentral describes it as "partial 16S ribosomal RNA". It matches the Rfam family "Bacterial small subunit ribosomal RNA", at positions 1 to 304 of the family's 1533-position model. The record is from RNAcentral. Lineage: Bacteria; Bacillati; Actinomycetota; Actinomycetes; Kitasatosporales; Streptomycetaceae.
CAUUCACGGAGAGUUUGAUCCUGGCUCAGGACGAACGCUGGCGGCGUGCUUAACACAUGCAAGUCGAACGAUGAAACCGCUUCGGUGGUGGAUUAGUGGCGAACGGGUGAGUAACACGUGGGCAAUCUGCCCUUCACUCUGGGACAAGCCCUGGAAACGGGGUCUAAUACCGGAUAACACUCUGUCCCGCAUGGGACGGGGUUGAAAGCUCCGGCGGUGAAGGAUGAGCCCGCGGCCUAUCAGCUUGUUGGUGGGGUAAUGGCCUACCAAGGCGACGACGGGUAGCCGGCCUGAGAGGGCGAC